Molecule: ribosomal RNA, 359 nt
Filed under: uncultured Cortinariaceae
Lineage: Eukaryota; Fungi; Basidiomycota; Agaricomycetes; Agaricales; Cortinariaceae
Description: eukaryotic LSU rRNA
Rfam family: 5.8S ribosomal RNA (bases 1-105)
Source: RNAcentral
GAAAUGCGAUAAGUAAUGUGAAUUGCAGAAUUCAGUGAAUCAUCGAAUCUUUGAACGCACCUUGCGCUCCUUGGUAUUCCGAGGAGCAUGCCUGUUUGAGUGUCAUUAAUAUAUCAACCUUCUCUUUUUGAGUGGUUUGGAUGUGGGGGUUUGCUGGCCUCUUAAAAGGUCUUGGCUCUCCUGAAAUACAUUAGCAGAACAACCCUGUUCAUUGGUGUGAUAACUAUCUACGCUAUUGAAUGUGAAGGGCAGUUUCGCUUUCUAACAGUCCUUGGACAAGCUCAUCAUUAAUGUGACCUCAAAUCAGGUAGGACUACCCGCUGAACUUAAGCAUAUCAAUAAGCGGAGGAAAAGAAACU